CCAAUAGCGUAUAUUAAAGUUGUUGCAGUUAAAAAGCUCGUAGUUGAAUUUCGGGGUUAGCAGGUCGGUCGUGCCAUUGGUAUGAACUGGCCUCGCUGAUCCCUCCCUCUUGACGAACUGUGAUGCCAUUAAUUUGGUGUCGCAGGGAAUCAGGACUGUUACUUUGAAAAAAUUAGAGUGUUUAAAGCAGGCUCACGCUUGAAUACAUUAGCGUGGAAUAAUGAAAUAGGACGUUUGAUCCUAUUUUGUUGGUUUCUAGGAUUGACGUAAUGAUUAAUAGGGAUAGUUGGGGGCAUUAGUAUUCAAUUGUCAGAGGUGAAAUUCUUGGAUUUAUUGAAGACUAACUACUGCGAAAGCAUUUGCCAAGGAUGUUUUCAUUAAUCAAGAACGAAAGUUAGGGGAUCGAAGACGAUCAGAUACCGUCGUAGUCUUAACCAUAAACUAUGCCGACUAGGGAUCGGAUGAUGUUAAUUUUUUAAUGACUCAUUCGGCGCCUUACG
This 500-nucleotide ribosomal RNA is filed under the name uncultured Glomeromycotina. Its description in RNAcentral is "partial small subunit ribosomal RNA". It matches the Rfam family "Eukaryotic small subunit ribosomal RNA", at positions 591 to 1092 of the family's 1831-position model. The record is from RNAcentral. Lineage: Eukaryota; Fungi; Glomeromycota.